GAAGGGAACAGGUGAGUUUGGCUCCCGAUGACUCGACGCCGAAGGCCUUGCAGAUGCUCUGAGAAGACUUGAGCUGUAAGCGGCUUGAGACGCCGACUUUGGUUGGCUGCAUGAAUGUUGCAGCUGCUUGUAAUGAGGCUGCCAUUGUUGUAAGUUUGCGAACCCCAAUUCCCCUCCUGUGUCUGUUGGAUCAGUCUGUUGUGAACUGUGAUUGUAGUGACUACUUGCAGGGAGUUGGGUUGAAGUAGGAAAGGGAUUUGUGUGGUGCAUGGGAAAUACUUGAGUUGAUUGGAGGAAGAUAAACAGAUAGGAUAAGGUGGUGUUCCAUUGGAUGCUCUGAGCUACUUUCUAUGGUGUUGUGCAUUGCCAUGUGGUUCGUAGGACAUGGAAAUUCCUUUGCAACAUAUUUAAUUUUAAUUCAUAAUGUUUUCCUUAUGCAGCAACCAGGUUUUUACUUAAUUUUUUUUUUUUUAAUCAUGCUGUAAAUCUUUUUAUUCAAUAUUUUUGUCUUUGGUCUUGGUUAGAAAAAUUAUUAUAAUCAAGUUGAUGGAAUUAAUUUGGAUACAAAGUGUUCCUUUUUUAUAUGUAUUUAUGGAAUGAAAAUUUAAAUAGUUGAUUUUUGUGUUAGGGAAAUGGAGAGAUUGCAUGGAUAUGUGGUAGAACAUUGUUGGACAGGGAGGGUACUGAAUAUAUUUUUGUGGGAUUCGCUGGGAAUGACAUUGAUCUUUGAGAAAUUAAAGACCGUGUUUGUUUUCAUGGUUACUUUUUUUCCUCCAUAACAGACCGCAUUGCUUGAUAGAAAACAGUUAUUGUAAAUAAAGGUUUGUGAAGUUGUAAUAAUCAAGUAAAUAAAACCUAUAUUUUCAUUUUCUGUUUAGCUGAUAAAAUAAGCUCCAAAAAUAAACAGAUAAAUAUAUAUAAACCACCAACACGAAUAGAAUACCCUCCUAUCCUCCUGUCAAAUAGGGAGGGAAACCAAUCAAUAUGAAAGUCUACC
This 997-nucleotide long non-coding RNA is filed under the name Lactuca sativa (garden lettuce). Its description in RNAcentral is "long non-coding RNA (LSAT_LNC001795)". Lineage: Eukaryota; Viridiplantae; Streptophyta; Magnoliopsida; Asterales; Asteraceae. The record is from RNAcentral.